ACGAACGCUGGCGGCGUGCCUAAUACAUGCAAGUCGAGCGGAAUGAUGAAGAAGCUUGCUUCUUCUGAUUUUAGCGGCGGACGGGUGAGUAACACGUGGGCAACCUACCUUGUAGAUUGGGAUAACUCCGGGAAACCGGGGCUAAUACCGAAUAAUCCAUUUUGCUUCAUGGCGAGAUGUUGAAAGACGGGUUUCGGCUGUCACUACAAGAUGGGCCCGCGGCGCAUUAGCUAGUUGGGUAGGGUAAGUGGCCUACCAAGGCGACGAUGCGUAGCCGACCUGAGAGGGUGAGUCGGCCACACGUGGGACUGAGACACCGGCCCAGACUCCUACGGGAGGCAGCAGUAGGGAAUCUUCCACAAUGGACGAAAGUCUGAUGGAGCAACGCCGCGUGAGUGAAGAAGGUUUUCGGAUCGUAAAACUCUGUUGUAAGGGAAGAACACGUACGAGAGUAACUGCUCGUACCUUGACGGUACCUUAUUAGAAAGCCACGGCUAACUACGUG
RNAcentral lists this ribosomal RNA (505 nucleotides) under uncultured bacterium. Its description in RNAcentral is "bacterial SSU rRNA". It matches the Rfam family "Bacterial small subunit ribosomal RNA", at positions 29 to 507 of the family's 1533-position model. The record is from RNAcentral.